RNAcentral lists this ribosomal RNA (253 nucleotides) under uncultured bacterium. RNAcentral describes it as "partial 16S ribosomal RNA". It matches the Rfam family "Bacterial small subunit ribosomal RNA", at positions 524 to 776 of the family's 1533-position model. The record is from RNAcentral.
UACGUAUGGUGCAAGCGUUAUCCGGAUUUAUUGGGCGUAAAGGGAACGCAGGCGGUCUUUUAAGUCUGAUGUGAAAGCCUUCGGCUUAACCGGAGUAGUGCAUUGGAAACUGGGAGACUUGAGUGCAGAAGAGGAGAGUGGAACUCCAUGUGUAGCGGUGAAAUGCGUAGAUAUAUGGAGGAACACCGGUGGCGAAAGCGGCUCUCUGGCCUGUAACUGACACUGAGGCUCGAAAGCGUGGGGAGCAAACAGG